Molecule: ribosomal RNA, 393 nt
Filed under: Triticum aestivum (bread wheat)
Lineage: Eukaryota; Viridiplantae; Streptophyta; Magnoliopsida; Poales; Poaceae
Description: partial small subunit ribosomal RNA
Source: RNAcentral
AUGAAUCCUUCGUCUGCCCUUGGUCCAAACGGUUUGCCAGUGAAGUUCUUCCAGACCUUCUGGACGGCCAUAAAACCAGAGGUCAUGGCCCUCUUUGAGGAGUUCUAUGUGGGCUCCAUUGACCUCGAUCGCCUUAACUACGGGAUCACCACCUUGAUCCCCAAGGUGCCUGGCGCUUCGGACAUCCGUCAGUUCCGACCGAUCACGAUGAUCAAUAUGAUCUUCCGCAUUCUAGCAAAGGGGUACGCCAAUAGGGUGGCCCCUUUGGCUGACCGCAUCACCCACCCGGAUCAGUCCGCCUUCAUACAAGGCCAGUAUAUCCAGAUGGGGUCAUUGUCUUCCACGAAGUCCUGCACGAGGUCCGGUCCAAAAACCUCAAAGCAGUCUUCCUGA